Non-coding RNA from Trichobilharzia regenti, 49 nucleotides. The record is from Rfam. NCBI's taxonomy places the organism in Eukaryota, Metazoa, Platyhelminthes, Trematoda, Strigeidida, Schistosomatidae.
AUCCAGACGACGAGUCCCAAACAGGACGAAAUGCGCAUCUUGGCUGGAU